This 254-nucleotide ribosomal RNA is filed under the name uncultured bacterium. RNAcentral's name for it is "partial 16S ribosomal RNA". It matches the Rfam family "Bacterial small subunit ribosomal RNA", at positions 524 to 776 of the family's 1533-position model. The record is from RNAcentral.
UACGUAGGGUGCAAGCGUUAAUCGGAAUUACUGGGCGUAAAGCGUGCGCAGGCGGUUUUGUAAGUCUGUCGUGAAAGCCCCGGGCUCAACCUGGGAAUUGCGAUGGAGACUGCAAGGCUUGAAUCUGGCAGAGGGGGGUAGAAUUCCACGUGUAGCAGUGAAAUGCGUAGAGAUGUGGAGGAACACCGAUGGCGAAGGCAGCCCCCUGGGUCAAGAUUGACGCUCAUGCACGAAAGCGUGGGGGAGCAAACAGG